Molecule: small nuclear RNA, 112 nt
Organism: Dipodomys ordii (Ord's kangaroo rat)
Lineage: Eukaryota; Metazoa; Chordata; Mammalia; Rodentia; Heteromyidae
Source: Ensembl
GUUCUCUAGCUUUGACAGCACAUAUACUCAAAUUGGAAAAAUAGAACAAAUAGUAGUAGUAUGACCUCUGCACAAAGGUGACAUGCAAAUUUUUGAAUCAUUCUUGUUUUUU